GAUGAACGCUGGCGGCGUGCCUAAUACAUGCAAGUCGAGCGAACGGACGAGAAGCUUGCUUCUCUGAUGUUGGCGGCGGACGGGUGAGUAACACGUGGAUAACCUACCUAUAAGACUGGGAUAACUUCGGGAAACCGGAGCUAAUACCGGAUAAUAUUUUGAACCGCAUGGUUCAAAAGUGAAAGACGGUCUUGCUGUCACUUAUAGAUGGAUACGCGCUGCAUUAGCUAGUUGGUAAGGUAACGGCUUACCAAGGCAACGAUGCAUAGCCGACCUGAGAGGGUGAUCGGCCACACUGGAAGUGAGACACGGUCCAGACUCCUACGGGAGGCAGCAGUAGGGAAUCUUCCGCAAUGGGCGAAAGCCUGACGGAGCAACGCCGCGUGAGUGAUGAAGGUCUUCGGAUCGUAAAACUCUGUUAUUAGGGAAGAACAUAUGUGUAAGUAACUGUGCACAUCUUGACGGUACCUAAUCAGAAAGCCACGGCUAACUACGUG
This 497-nucleotide ribosomal RNA is filed under the name uncultured bacterium. Its description in RNAcentral is "partial 16S ribosomal RNA". It matches the Rfam family "Bacterial small subunit ribosomal RNA", at positions 28 to 507 of the family's 1533-position model. The record is from RNAcentral.